This 85-nucleotide transfer RNA is filed under the name Felis catus (domestic cat). It matches the Rfam family "tRNA". Rfam says of the family: Transfer RNA (tRNA) molecules are approximately 80 nucleotides in length. Their secondary structure includes four short double-helical elements and three loops (D, anti-codon, and T loops). Further hydrogen bonds mediate the characteristic L-shaped molecular structure. tRNAs have two regions of fundamental functional importance: the anti-codon, which is responsible for specific mRNA codon recognition, and the 3' end, to which the tRNAs corresponding amino acid is attached (by aminoacyl-tRNA synthetases). tRNAs cope with the degeneracy of the genetic code in two manners: having more than one tRNA (with a specific anti-codon) for a particular amino acid; and 'wobble' base-pairing, i.e. permitting non-standard base-pairing at the 3rd anti-codon position. Lineage: Eukaryota; Metazoa; Chordata; Mammalia; Carnivora; Felidae. The record is from Rfam by way of RNAcentral.
GCCUGAGUGGCUCAGUCGGUUGAGCGUCUGACUUUGGCUCAGGUCACGAUCUCGCGGUCCGUGAGUUCGAGCCCCGCGUCAGGCU